This 267-nucleotide ribosomal RNA is filed under the name uncultured bacterium. RNAcentral's name for it is "partial 16S ribosomal RNA". It matches the Rfam family "Bacterial small subunit ribosomal RNA", at positions 793 to 1055 of the family's 1533-position model. The record is from RNAcentral.
GUCCUGGCCCUAAACGGUGCACGUUUGCUGUGAGGAGAGUCGAAUCUUUUCGUGGCGAAGCUAACGCGUUAAACGUGCCGCCUGGGAAGUACGGCCGCAAGGUUAAAACUCAAAGAAAUUGACGGGGGCCUGCACAAGCGGUGGAGUAUGUGGCUCAAUUCGAUGCAACGCGAAGAACCUUACCUGGCCUUGACAUGCACGUAGUAGAAGGGUGAAAGCCCGACGAGGUAGCAAUACCAGCGUGCACAGGUGCUGCAUGGCUGUCGU